ACAAUGCAGUCGAGCGGUAGAGAGAAGCUUGCUUCUCUUGAGAGCGGCGGACGGGUGAGAAAGCCUAGGAAUCUGCCUGGUAGUGGGGGAUAACGUCCGGAAACGGACGCUAAUACCGCAUACGUCCUACGGGAGAAAGCAGGGGACCUUCGGGCCUUGCGCUAUCAGAUGAGCCUAGGUCGGAUUAGCUAGUUGGUGGGGUAAUGGCUCACCAAGGCGACGAUCCGUAACUGGUCUGAGAGGAUGAUCAGUCACACUGGAACUGAGACACGGUCCAGACUCCUACGGGAGGCAGCAGUGGGGAAUAUUGGACAAUGGGCGAAAGCCUGAUCCAGCCAUGCCGCGUGUGUGAAGAAGGUCUUCGGAUUGUAAAGCACUUUAAGUUGGGAGGAAGGGCAGUAAAUUAAUACUUUGCUGUUUUGACGUUACCGACAGAAUAAGCACCGGCUAACUCUGUGCCAGCAGCCGCGGUAAUACAGAGGGUGCAAGCGUUAAUCGGAAUUACUGGGCGUAAAGCGCGCGUAGGUGGUUCGUUAAGUUGGAUGUGAAAUCCCCGGGCUCAACCUGGGAACUGCAUUCAAAACUGACGAGCUAGAGUAUGGUAGAGGGUGGUGGAAUUUCCUGUGUAGCGGUGAAAUGCGUAGAUAUAGGAAGGAACACCAGUGGCGAAGGCGACCACCUGGACUGAUACUGACACUGAGGUGCGAAAGCGUGGGGAGCAAACAGGAUUAGAUACCCUGGUAGUCCACGCCGUAAACGAUGUCAACUAGCCGUUGGGAGCCUUGAGCUCUUAGUGGCGCAGCUAACGCAUUAAGUUGACCGCCUGGGGAGUACGGCCGCAAGGUUAAAACUCAAAUGAAUUGACGGGGGCCCGCACAAGCGGUGGAGCAUGUGGUUUAAUUUCGAAGCAACGCGAAGAACCUUACCAAGGCCUUGACAUCAAUGAACUUUCUAGAAGAUAGAUGUGCUUCGGAACAAUUGAGAACAGGUGCUGCAUGCUGUCGUCAGC
Molecule: ribosomal RNA, 1009 nt
Filed under: Pseudomonas sp. AMF2883
Lineage: Bacteria; Pseudomonadati; Pseudomonadota; Gammaproteobacteria; Pseudomonadales; Pseudomonadaceae
Also listed under: 1 other name
Description: bacterial SSU rRNA
Rfam family: Bacterial small subunit ribosomal RNA
Source: RNAcentral